This is a long non-coding RNA of Mauremys mutica (yellowpond turtle), 2696 nucleotides long. RefSeq lists it as uncharacterized. The transcript has 3 exons. The record is from RefSeq and is a predicted model, not a curated record. NCBI's taxonomy places the organism in Eukaryota, Metazoa, Chordata, Testudines, Geoemydidae.
UUUCCUUCACGGGCGCCCUCCGGAGCUGGGGCUCAGCUCCUCUAUUUAGCCAGACUCUGGUGUCACGACUUCAUGACACUGAAGUGCCAACAUGUUGCCUGGGCAUCCUGGCAGGGCAAUGGCGGCAAAGCAGUCAGCAUCGAUGAUGUCAUUCCGACACGUGAACUCGCUGCGUCAGUAAGUGAUGGCGUCAGACCAGAAUGUGAUGUCGACGCAACCGUCUGAUGAUGUCAUAUCAAAAUAUGAUGUCAGCACCACAAAGCAUGAUGAUGUCACGUCGAGCCCGCUGCAAAGUGAUAAUGGCCACUUCAGAAUGUUCCGAUGGCACAUGCAAAAGUUACAGAGUCACAUGCAAUGUCUCUUUGAAACCGCUUUGUAAGUUGGAGAUGCUGUACUGAGGCAAGGUGGUGCAGUGCUGAAAUGGGAUGUUGAAUGGAAUGUUGCGUUGUCAUGAAAAACAUCAUGUCACACUGAUCGUUUCUGCAGCCCAAGUGUUCUGUCAGGAUGUGUCAGUGGAUCAGGGCCUGAAUCUUCUCUCCUCAUUGCAAAAGCUGUCAUAGAGCUGGCAUUUUCUGCUCAGCAGGGAUCCACUAUGGACAUAGCAGAAGGGCUGAAGGUCAAGAUAAAGCGCCACCCCGGUGUCCCUCCUCUCGUUCUCCGCCUGCAAGCACAGCACUCCAGAGAGCGAAGGCAGGAGGGGAAGUUAGCCAAAUAAAGCAGGCAGAAGGCUUCCUGUGCUUCCCUUCCUCAGAGGCCUGAUGCUGAGCGGAGAUCGCCAUUGCCUGGGAUGCCAUGAGCUCUGCAGGUCAAAGCAGGAAGGCAGCUUAAACAAACAGAGUGGGAACCUGCUCCCCAAACAGAGAGAAUCGUUUAUUUACACAGACGGGUCUUGAAACCAACAAGUGUCCUGUUGCAUUUAUUAAAGGAGAACCCUCCAAUUACUCCUGAAUUCCCUCACCAAAGGCUCCUUAGCAAAGCAAGUGCGAUGUACGGACCCCCUUAAAUGGAGCAGAGUGUCCCGGUGCCGGUCCUUUAGCGAGAGGGGCAGCGUGGCUAGAGCAGGUUAGAGACACAAAUGAAAUGAUGCAGAAACCGCCUCAAGUUUUGUUUUUUGGUUGGUUGGUUUUCUCAGCUGGAAACUCCACGCUGUGAUUUUAGAGCGAAAGGGUCUCCGUCCCCAGGAGCGUGGAGGCGCCCGUCUGCCAGCCUGCGAUGCUGUCCCAGGAGGUGUGCGUCCUGUAUCUGAGACGUCACAUAGCGGUUGCUGAGCGCCUCUGACCACUACGCCAUACUGCUCAUCCACAUGGGCAGUGAUGAUACUGUCAGGUCUGACCCUGAGCAGAUCAGCAGAGACUCCAGGGCUCUGGGAAUGAGGGUGAUGGGACCAGGGGCUCAGGUUCUGUUCUCAUGCAUCCUUCGGGUGGAGGGUAAGGGCCAGGCAGGGAUGGGCAUCCUGGAGAUGAAUACAUAGCUGCACAGGUGGUAUCAGUGGGGGGACGUUGGCUUCCUCGACCAUGGGAUACUGUCCUGGUAAGGAGGACUCUGGGUAGAGACGGGGUCCACCCCAUCAAGAAGAGGAAGAACAUCUUCAUGCACCAACUCACCAACCUAGUGAGGAGGGCUUUAAACUAGGUUCAAAGGGGGGCCCAGGAAAGCAUAGAAAAGACAACCUGAACAGAAAGCGAGAUGUUGGGAGGACAUGGGAAAGUACAGUCUGGUCGUAGGAAAAAGAAGAGGGAACUCAGUAGGGUAAUCUGCUCAACAUUUUCCGUGUCUACACACAAAUGGGGAUUAAACAGGCAGAACUGGAAGGAUGAGUCCCGAAGCUAAAUGAUGACUCGGUGGGAUAAAUCUCAGGACUAGGAUAUUGGCAUAGAUGGAUAGAACUUGUUCAGGAAGGACUGGCAGGGUAAAAAGUGAGCAGAUGCUGCAUUAUACAUCAAGAAUAUAUACACUUGCUCUGAGCUCCACAAGGACGUGAGAGACAGACCAGUUGAAAGUUUCUGGGUAAAGCUAAAAGGGGAAACACAGAGGUGACGUCAUGGUAAAGGUCUACUGCAGACUAUCAAAUCAGGAAGUGAAGGUGGAUGAGGCUUUUCUAGAGCAAGUAACAGAAAUAUCCAAAACACAAGCCCAGGGUGGGGGCUUUAACUACCCAGACAUCUGCUGGAAGAGUAAUAUGGCAAGACACACAAUGCCCCAUAGCUCUUGGAAUGCACUGGGGGAGGUAGUGACCAGGGGAACAGCCAUCUGAGAUUUGAUUCUGACCAACGGGGAGAAACUGGUUGAGAACCUGAAGAAGGACGACAACCUGGGUGAAAGCCGUCAUUAAAUGAUAGAUUUCAAGAUUUUAAGGAGGAAGGAGUGAGGGCAGCAAAAUAAGGACAACAGACGUCAACAGGCUUGGAGAACGGGUAGAUAAGGUCCCAUGGGACGAAAACCUAAGGGAAAAAGGAGUUCAGGUGUGCUGGUGGUUUCUCAAGAUGGCAAUAUUAGAGGCACAACUGGAAAGUAUUCCGAUGCGAAGGAAAGAUAGGAAGAAUAGUGAGGCCAAUAUGGCUCCAUCAGGAGCUCUUUAAUGACUUGAAAACCAAAAAGGAAUCCUACAAAAAGUGAAAACAUGGACACAUUGCUAAGGAGGCGUAAUUAGGGACAAAAUCAGAAAGGCUAAGGCACAAAAUGAGUUGCACCUAGCA